This 253-nucleotide ribosomal RNA is filed under the name uncultured bacterium. RNAcentral's name for it is "partial 16S ribosomal RNA". It matches the Rfam family "Bacterial small subunit ribosomal RNA", at positions 524 to 776 of the family's 1533-position model. The record is from RNAcentral.
UACGGGGGGGGCAAGCGUUGUUCGGAAUUACUGGGCGUAAAGGGCUCGUAGGCGGCCAACUAAGUCGGAUGUGAAAUCCCCAGGCUCAACUUGGGAACUGCAUCCGAUACUGGAUGGCUUGAAUUCGGGAGAGGGAUGCAGAAUUCCAGGUGUAGCGGUGAAAUGCGUAGAUAUCUGGAGGAACACCGGUGGCGAAGGCGACAUCCUGGACCAACACUGACGCUGAGGAGCGAAAGCCAGGGGAGCAAACGGG